UCUUUGUCCCCGCACGUCGGUUUCCCGGCCCCGUUGCGGCGGCCGGGAAUGAAAAGGGAAUACCGUGCGAAUCGGUAACAAUUCCCGUUGCUGUGUGCUCCGGCCCUGCUGCUUCGAAGCUGCGGGGCAUCGGCCGACCUCUUUGUGCCACUGGCUCCGCGGAGUCGGGAAGGCGUCGGUCGUGGAGCGAGUCAGAAGACCUGCCGCCGUGCCUGUGCGAAU
This 222-nucleotide non-coding RNA is filed under the name Alistipes sp. Lineage: Bacteria; Pseudomonadati; Bacteroidota; Bacteroidia; Bacteroidales; Rikenellaceae. The record is from RNAcentral. RNAcentral also lists the same sequence under 1 other name.